GCGCAGCAGUCGAGAAUCUUCCACAAUGGACGAAAGUCUGAUGGAGCGACGCCGCGUGGUUGAUGAAGUCCUUCGGGACGUAAAGACCUUUAUGGGGGAGGAAGUAAUUGACGUUACCCCAUGAAUAAGGGGCUCCUAACUCUGUGCCAGCAGGAGCGGUAAUACAGAGGCCCCAAGCGUUAUCCGGAAUCACUGGGCGUAAAGGGUGUGUAGGCGGCAUUGUUAGUCUUUUGUGAAAGCUCUUCGGCUUAACCGAGGAAACGCGGAAGAAACGGCAAAGCUUUGAGGAUACGAGAGGUAGA
Molecule: ribosomal RNA, 302 nt
Filed under: uncultured organism
Description: bacterial SSU rRNA
Rfam family: Bacterial small subunit ribosomal RNA
Source: RNAcentral